Molecule: long non-coding RNA, 413 nt
Organism: Gopherus flavomarginatus (Mexican gopher tortoise)
Lineage: Eukaryota; Metazoa; Chordata; Testudines; Testudinidae
Exons: 2
Source: RefSeq, a predicted model, not a curated record
UGCCCAAUAAGUAGAAGGCUUUGGCCCAGAUACCCCCUUCAGAAGACAUCCCCAGACUGGCCUAGGGACACUGGUGUGACCUCACCUUGCAGCCCCCAAAGAAGGAAUUGGGAAUGUUGGGUCUAAACUUUUGGUGAACUUUGGGGAGCCAAAACACACCCAGACUGGCCGUCUCUGCAUAAUCCUUUCUGAACCCUUUAUCGAACAAAGCACUGACCUGCAAACUACUCAUGACACCCCCUUUAUUAAGUAGCCAUUAGCCUUUAUCUCUAUGCAUUUACUUGUUAAACUUGCUUUUCCUGUAAAAUAUUGAUUGAUUAUGCAUGACCAUUAUCUUUUGUUAAUCACUUUGUUUACUUCUGUGUAUAAAUAUUGAUGCUCACCCCUAAUAAAGGGGCCACACUUAAUCUAAA